AGUUUUUAUGGUCCUCUCUCAGGAAUUUGGGCUCUGAAAACUGGCUCAGAAACUGGGCAAGAGAUCAUGACUUACUAUUGGAGGAGUUGCUCUCAUUGUGGUUACCCACUCCUGUAUUCCUCUAAUUUUAUAGAUUGAGCAGUUUCCUCAUCAAUUACCCAGCUGUCUUGUCCCUAGUGAUAUGGAUUCUGUUACCAUCUCUGUAGCUCUCUACUAGUGAGGACUCCCUGGCUGCUACUCCAAACUUGUCAUUCAUUAUGACAAUUGUACAUACCUUGCUGCUGGUGAUCAAAUGCUACUCUCUGGCUUCUAUUAUAUCUGUAUCUUACCAUCCCUAUUACUAUCACGGAAACUGUGUCUAUAGUAGAAUCUCCUAUGAUGAGCCCUGGCUUAAAGUAGAUAGCCACUGAACACUUCAAUGAUACUCUUGUCCCUUCCACUAGUUAACACCUUAUUUUGGAAAACAGAGUUUCAUUUAGGCCCUCCCAUGGAACACAUUCAGAUGGUGGGCUUUGGCCUUGCUUAUAUCUACCAUAGGAUUCCCACAUUUCUGGCUCUUACCAUCAUCCAUGGCACUUUACUUCACUUGGUAUGGGCCAUUGCUUUCUUUAAACUGCAAAGCGCGGGAUGCCUGGGUGGCUCAGUGGUUGAGCAUCUGCCUUCAACUCAGGGCAUGAUCCCAGAGUUCCAGGAUCGGUCCCACAUCAGGCUCCCUGUGAGGAGCCUGAUUCUCCCUCUGCCUGUGUUUCUGCCUUUUCUCUCAUGAAUAAAUAAAUAAAAUCUUUUUUAAAAGUAAAUAAACUGCAAAGCACCAUCACAGAAGCAUAUUAGCUUCUUUUCUUGGAGUCUUUGACAGAGGGUUACAUCCUUAUCACAGAAUAGUGUUCUCUUAUCAAUAAAUUCUCCUUUCCAACUUUAUGUUCUGCCCCCUUAAUUUAACAUCUUUGGGAUCCAGUUUCUAAACAUACUCUCCUGGGUCUCAUAAGUACAUAUUGACUGGAUCCUUUAGCACAUCAAGGCCACCACUUUCCCAGCUGGAAUGUGCUGUGCUUUAAUCCUCAUUAUGGUUUUGGUAACCAGGAGGGGAGGUGAAUAUAGCUUCUGAGGGAAGGGCCACAUGCUAUCUUACUGGUCAGAAGCCUCUGCAUUUCUUCAGAUAAGGGAGGAACACUAGCUUUUGACAGGGAAAAGUGGGCCACUUCUGCAGGCUCAAAGGGUCAGGGAAAUUGGGGGGCAUUCAGUAUUUUGAAGGAUAUUGGCUCAGGGUCCUACUCCUUCCCAAUCAGGACCCCAAACUUGAUAGAGACAACUCAGACUCAAAAUUCAACCAUCUCUUGAGAUAAUCUACUCCUAUUAAGUUUUGAGUCAGAUCCUCAGCUUUUUCACUUUGCAGCUGCAAGAGAUGGGAGUCUCUUUAUAUGCUGCCAAGGGGGCCCUCUGGCUUUUAUACUUCACCUUAAUUUGGUGAUUAAUCACCCUCAGCCUUUCAUGUCUUCUCCAAUGCCUGGGUAACUUGCAGCAAAAAUUAUCCAAUUCUAUAGUCCUUUAAUUACUAUUUACUCCGAAGCUCUCAAGCACCUAAGAUAUUACACUUUGCAAUGCCUUCUCUUCCGUGAAUAUCCCAUCACAAUUCAACAUCAAGAAAAGUUUUAACAAAUGCACCAUGGCUACAUCCCAGAGCUAUCGAUACCAUAUCUACUACCAGUGAUGGAGUCCUAAUUACCAGCCAGCCAGCAGAUAACUCAAUUCCAAAAUCCCGUUUUAGAGCCUGCCUCCUAGGAUCAUCCCCAGUAUCAACUUCCAUUCAUUGAAUUUCCUGUGAAAAGAAACUCUGAGCCUGAGAUUUGCAUACAGGUGGUUUAUUGGGGAAUGCUCUCAGAUAUGAUGUUUGUAAGGGAAAGGUAAAAAAAAAAAAAAAAAAAAAAAGACUUGUUGAGAGAUGCUGAACUGUGAUACAAUCACAGCAGAGGCCUGAGGCUCAGCCUCAGUCAUUGGGUACCCUGAAGCUGGGAUGACCCACCAGAAAUCUUGCCAGGUUUAGUCCCUGGAUCAGGCUGGACCCGAGGCAGGACUGAAACUUUGGAGAAGAUAGCCUCUCUUGGCCAAGGGCAAGUUUUAGGUAAGUGCUUGACUGUAAACAACGGCAAGGAGCACUCUGGCCCCUGGGAAAUGAGUGCCUCCAUCUCGAAGAUCUCGUAGGUCCAGCUACAUCCACCACACUCUACAAGGGUAGAUGGGUAUUAGGUAAUCAACUCUUGGUCAGCCAUUCUGACGGACAGGAUGUAAGCUCAGAUAAACGCAGAACAACAAAGGAUUCUAAACUCUACUGGCCUCCAACAUCAGAAAGUGAUACAUGACCUACCUUCAAAGACAGAGAACACUCAUGCAGAUUCACCUUUGUUGAUCCUUGAUGCAGCAUUUUGAUCCUUUUAGUCACCUCCCUGCUGGGCAAAAGAGUCAGGAAGACUGAGAUCCCAGACAAGUGGCCACAAAAAUGGCUUUCACUUACAAAUAAUCAGGUCAGCUAUUUUGCACACAUGUACAUAUCUGUUUCUUAGCACUUUUAUUCAUCCUAUAAAACUUCAUUCAGCACUGCAAGCAGAAUUUUAAAAACAAAACAUUUAAAAUAAUCCAUGAAGCUCUAAAACGUAAGAGGAAGAUAUGAAAACACCUAGCGUAACCCAUGAGAUUCACAGUCAUAUUUCCCUGUAAUAAACUCUUACUAAUCAGUUCAGAGCUUUAUAAAACAAUAGGAGUGGAAUGACAAUGCUGUCAUUUGUAUAUUCUCCCUCAGUUCUCUAAUGGAAAGCUUUUUUUUCUCUGCCAAGUCAUUCCUGACAAUGUUAAUGAUUCACUAUAAAGCAGUUUCUGGGCUAUGAUUUGUGACAUUCAGACUGGUUAGAUGGGAGGGCUCGGCAGGUUUCUGGGGAGUGUUUUGGAUGCAGAAAUGCCUUGAAGAUAGCACUUUAUUAUAUUUAGGACAAGUAUGACAUCCCACUUCAAGGAAGAGGCCCCUAUACAUAUUGAGAAGGGAUUUCUAUGGUUUAAGUGGGGAGGAGAAGGUGGGUUUAAAAGAAUGCCUCUGUGUGUUUUUUGAGGCGACAUAAAGAUAGGAAGCAGAGAAAUGGAGGCAGGAGGCAGAAGGAUUAUGGAUAAUGGAAGAAUUUUGCCUGAGGGUAUAUGCCUGCUUUGCCUAUUCCUGUAUAACUAGAAUAUUUAUAAUUCAAAUACUUAUCUUUAAUAAUUAAAAACCAAGGAAUAUUAAAGACAAAAGGUAGAGAAUAUUAUGUACACAUGUGUAGGCAUCAUGCAUUAAAUCCCCACCCUUGCAAAAUACAGCAAGAGGGAGCUUUAAAAGGAGGUUAAAAAGUGAAUAUUUUAAAACGUCUUGAAAACAGAAUUUCUAAUUCACUCCAAUUCUGCCAGGAGUGAUACCCUUACUUCUGAUUUCUACACACACUAUCAGUCAUGGGGAUAGGCACUAAAAAUACCCAGCGUGGUGGUUUGACAUCAGCACAUCAACAAUUAAAAAGUGGAUACAAAAUAUUUCAGGUUUUCAAGACCAUAAGAUUUUUCCUCUAGAUUUCUGAAAACAUAGGAUGUGCACCGGAAAAGGAAAAGUCAUUUUUGAUUGUUUUCACAGAACAUUUAGUUGCACAGUCUAUGUAAACUACUAGUUACAAUGGAAUGUAAUACUCUACCUCCGCCAGAAACUCUCUCUGAUCUUUUGCCUCUUCUCAGACAGCAAAGAAACAAAGGAAAACAGCCCUGGCUGUGGAUGGAGAGGAGUGUUUGAAAAGAGAAAGAGACCUCAACCAUGCCCCCCGGUAUUAUAAAGCUGUCAAUUAUAACCAUGAUUACAAUGAAAAUACUGAAAUAAAAAAAUUAUUUAUUUAAGGGAGGAAAAAAGGCCAACUGCAUUUAAAAAGAAAAGAAAAGAAAAAAAAAGAACAACUGAAAAACACAUUGUUCAAUUUCAACCUUAGAGAUUCUAAAGUUAAUGAAAAAUAAUACAAACUAAUGGAGCUUGGUUGUUUCCAUUACAGUAGCAGGGAAGUGGAAUGCUUAGCAGCCAAAAUAUGAACAAAUGAAGACACUGGGUGAAAUGGUCAGGUGUCACUGUUUUUUGAAGAAUGUGGUCUCUGUGGCAACGAGUUUAUGAAUAAUAGUUUCAAUUCAUAUCUAGAUCAGAGGCGUUAAUAUUUACACCUUUGCUAAUUGUGGCAAGGAGGAGAUUAAUGAAAAAGUAAAUGUCUCUAUCUUAUUGCCUCCCCAUCACACCAAGCAAUUUCUGGUUGAACAUUAACUCAAGCUGACAAUAAUAUGCUGGGGUGAAAAAGUAAGAAGGGGUACCCACAGAUCCUUAUAUGCAUAAAAAGAAUGGUGAUAAUGGCUAAGCAUUGAUUAUAGUUACCAAUAAAACUAAAAAUGACACUUAAGACUUAUUUUGUAAAAUUGCACAUGUUUAGAGCUGAGACUCGGCCUGGCAGCUGCAGUACGUGAUAUACUGAUAUACUGAUGAUCUUAGGUGGGGGAUCUUUUUUUGUCCACCUGUAAUGCUGCCCCUCCUGGGCUAUGAAACACAAGGUAUUGUAAGGCAAGGUAUUGUAGACCAGCAGCAGCAGCAGCAGCAGCAGCAGCAAACCCAGUAUUCCCCAAAAGGCAUGUUUGUGGGGUUCCAGCUGGGAUUAACAGAGCAGGAAAAAAGGACUUGCUAAAUAUUGAAUUUGGGAAAGUGGGGAAAUUAAAAAUCUUCAAGUUUAUCAUGUCAGUUGAAAGAAAUUUUAAUUUCCCAAGAAUUAUUGCAUGUCAUCGUGCCGAAGAUGGGAAGUUUGAAAGAAAACUUCUCCAGGUACAGCCUACCCACGUCUCCGCAAGAUUUUGAAACUCGGCGGUUGUCUGUAUCAUCUGAUAGUUUUCUCGCGUUCAGUAUGUUUGUGGGCUCACGGAGAGGGGCCUCUUAUCUACUUCCACUCUUGCUGUUUGUCUUACAUCUUUAUUAGCUUUCCACAAAGUGCAAUCAUAAUUAAAUUCCAAAGCAAAGGAUGAAGUCACCCGAAUCAUCAUCCAACUAACUGCAAAUGACGGUGGCAAGAAUGACAAUGAUACUCCGCACUUCUUCAUUUCUGGUUCGGCAGCAUUUAGCUCCCUGACCUCCUGCUGUUGUCAGUGCCAUGGGCUGCUUAAAUGCUGUGCAAAAGCAUUUCUGCUUUAUUUGUUCUAAAUUUACUGGUUAUUAAUUUCACAGUGUGACCUCCUAUUCGCCUAUUAGUUGGCAGAUUUCACCAUAGCCUUCAAAAAGCUAAAGAUUUCCAUCAAGCUACUUUCUAUUUCUGUUUUGUUUUUGGUUUUUUUUUUCUGGCCAUCUUCCACAAGAUAUAAAAUUUCCUGUUUCCUUAACCAUCCUCGUGACCCUUUUCUGAGACUCAUGCUGUGUAUCCAUAGGACUUAGAAAUUUCUCAUUCUUUCCUUUUAAUAAAGAUUUGCAUUUUCUCAACCCCUUUCUCACAGAUCUCAAAAGAAACUGCUUUUUUGUUGCAAAGGUUGGAUGUUGAAUUGUUUGCAUGUCUUUGAGUAAUUUAAAGCUUUUACUUGGCAUUUUUCUCAUUCACACAGAGUAGGGGUAGGGAAUAACUUCUAUUACACGAGGAAUAGAAAGACAGUGGCAGCGUAAAUUCACGUAGCCUGAAGGUCACUAUGAUUUCCUCCAUCUUUCUCUUGGAGUCGUAAACCUCCCACUCCAGGGCCAGAUCUUAGAGCUUAGAGGGAAAACAGUCCAUUUACUGCUGAUGCUCAGAACUAAGUGAAUUUUUUGGCUAUUGUAUCAGAAAGUGUAUAUCUCACCUCAGGGUCUUAACAGUUUGCUGUAUGUGAAUGUAUGAAUCUACAAACUGGACUUGCUUUGGGUCAUUUCGGGUUCUGGAAAUUUUGUGGCAUCUGGUGUCUUUUCCAGGAGCUGCACCUACCUGACCGUCUCCAAAAAAAAAAAAAAAAAAAAA
RNAcentral lists this long non-coding RNA (5999 nucleotides) under Canis lupus familiaris (dog). Its description in RNAcentral is "lncRNA (ENSCAFG00845025591.1)". The record is from RNAcentral. Lineage: Eukaryota; Metazoa; Chordata; Mammalia; Carnivora; Canidae.